CCUACGGGUGGCUGCAGUGAGGAAUAUUGGUCAAUGGGCGCGAGCCUGAACAGCCAAGUUGCGUGAAGGAUGACUGCCCUACGGGUUGUAAAAUUCUUUUAUAAAGGAGUAAAGUGAGGCAAGUGUGCCUUUUUGUCUGUAAUUUCUGAAUCAGGGUCGGCUAACUCCGUGCCCGCAGCCGCGGUAAUACGGAGGGUCCGAGCGUUAUCCGGAUUUAUUGGGUUUAAAGGGAGCGUAGAUGGGUUGUUAAGUCAGUUGUGAAAGUUUGCGGCUCAAACGUAAAAUUGCAAUUGAUACUGGCAGUCUUGAGUACAGGUGAGGUAGGCGGAAUUCGUGGUGUAGCGGUGAAAUGCUUAGAUAUCACGAAGAACUCCGAUUGCGAAGGCAGCUUACUAAACUGCCACUGACAUUGAUGCUCGAAAGUGUGGGUAUCAAACAGGAUUAGAUACCCCAGUAGUC
RNAcentral lists this ribosomal RNA (459 nucleotides) under uncultured bacterium. RNAcentral's name for it is "partial 16S ribosomal RNA". It matches the Rfam family "Bacterial small subunit ribosomal RNA", at positions 338 to 795 of the family's 1533-position model. The record is from RNAcentral.